GCCCAGAUGGCGGAAUCGGUAGACGCGCUAGCUUCAGGUGCUAGUGUCCCUUGGGACGUGGAGGUUCAAGUCCUCUUCUGGGCACCA
Molecule: transfer RNA, 87 nt
Filed under: Paracoccaceae bacterium
Lineage: Bacteria; Pseudomonadati; Pseudomonadota; Alphaproteobacteria; Rhodobacterales; Paracoccaceae
Description: Rhodobacteraceae bacterium (sponge metagenome) tRNA-Leu
Rfam family: tRNA
About the family: Transfer RNA (tRNA) molecules are approximately 80 nucleotides in length. Their secondary structure includes four short double-helical elements and three loops (D, anti-codon, and T loops).
Source: RNAcentral